UGUGUGUGUGUGUGUGUGUGUGUGAGAGAGAGAGGGACAGCAGGUGAAUGUGUGUUGUGUCUGACCUCAGUGUGUUACCCUACUGUCCACCACAGUGAUCCAAAGUAUUUAUGGGUGUUUCUAU
This is a long non-coding RNA of Sinocyclocheilus grahami, 124 nucleotides long. RefSeq lists it as uncharacterized. The record is from RefSeq and is a predicted model, not a curated record. NCBI's taxonomy places the organism in Eukaryota, Metazoa, Chordata, Actinopteri, Cypriniformes, Cyprinidae. The transcript is spliced from 3 exons.